Molecule: ribosomal RNA, 253 nt
Filed under: uncultured bacterium
Lineage: Bacteria
Description: partial 16S ribosomal RNA
Rfam family: Bacterial small subunit ribosomal RNA
Source: RNAcentral
GACGGGGGAUGCAAGUGUUAUCCGGAAUCACUGGGCGUAAAGCGUCUGUAGGUGGUUGAAUAAGUCAACUGUUAAAUCUUGAGGCUCAACCUCAAAACCGCAGUCGAAACUAUUAGACUAGAGUAUAGUAGGGGUAAAGGGAAUUUCCAGUGGAGCGGUGAAAUGCGUAGAGAUUGGAAAGAACACCAAUGGCGAAGGCACUUUACUGGGCUAUAACUGACACUCAGAGACGAAAGCUAGGGUAGCAAAUGGG